This 635-nucleotide ribosomal RNA is filed under the name uncultured bacterium. RNAcentral's name for it is "bacterial SSU rRNA". It matches the Rfam family "Bacterial small subunit ribosomal RNA", at positions 8 to 694 of the family's 1533-position model. The record is from RNAcentral.
AGAGUUUGAUCCUGGCUCAGAACGAACGCUGGCGGCAGGCCUAACACAUGCAAGUCGAGCGCCCGCAAGGGAGCGGCAGACGGGUGAGUAACGCGUGGGAACGUGCCCUUUGGUUCGGAAUAUUCCCGGGAAACUGGGAGCAAAACCGGAUAAGCCCUUCGGGGGAAAGUUUACGCCAAAGGAUCGGCCCGCGUUAGAUUAGGUAGUUGGUGGGGUAACGGCCUACCAAGCCUACGAUCUAUAGCUGAUCUGAGAGGAUGAUCAGCCACACUGGGACUGAGACACGGCCCAGACUCCUACGGGAGGCAGCAGUGGGGAAUCUUGGACAAUGGGCGCAAGCCUGAUCCAGCCAUGCCGCGUGGAUGACUGAAGGCCCUAGGGUUGUAAAGUCCUUUCGACGGGGACGAUAAUGACGGUACCCGUAGAAGAAGCCCCGGCUAACUUCGUGCCAGCAGCCGCGGUAAUGCGAAGGGGGCUAGCGUUGUUCGGAUUUACUGGGCGUAAAGGGCGCGUAGGCGGAUUUUUAAGUCGGGGGUGAAAUCCCGGAGCUCAACUCCGGAACUGCCUUCGAUACUGAAAGUCUGGAGCACGGUAGAGGUGAGUGGAAUUCCGAGUGUAGCGGUGAAAUGCGUAGA